AGGUUAAUAUCCUUCGUCCUUCGAAGCAUUAUUUCCCUUAGGAUAUAACGAUCUUCCGACGAAGGUCAUGAAGGACGUACCUUCAACAUCGUGAUAAGUGAUAAUGAAAGACAAAGCAUAUGAAACAUGAAAGAUAACAUGAACAAUCAUAUAACAUUAUUCACAUAUCUUCAUUACAUAAAUUCAAGUAUUUAAAUACAAUAUUUAAUCACAUUUAUACCUUCGGCUUGACAGAAGGCAAAAAAUCCAAACGUUGCGCACGAGCGAAUACAAAAUCGUGUGAACAGUACAGGGGUACUGUUCAUCUAUUUAUUGGCACAGGACGCAGCCUGUGAGAAAUUACAUUCAUAUCCUUUACAAAGGUUUAUAAUCAUAAUACAAGUUAUCACGGGCCAAUUGGUCAUUUCAUCUUUAGGUCGGUGCAUUUGGAAAUGUACUCUGAAGCCCUUUGAUUGAUAGCUUCGGCUUUGUGCUAGUCUUCCGAAGGUGUUUCUUCUUAUGGGACCUUCGGCGAUGAAGCAGGCCCCUAACAGAGCCCGUCUUAAGAAUCCCUUUAAGUGGUCACACCCAGUUUUGGAAGGUAGAUCGAAUGCGAACCAUGUACGUGUCAGGACCAGAAAUUCACGUACACGGCGAUUACAUAAGUGACUCAUCAUAGCACAAUGCUUUGAAUAACAAGGAAGAGUAAGUUAUAAUAUUAAAGACUAGAGCAUUUAUAUAAUAUAAAUCAAAGUACACAGAAUCGAAACGUAGCCAACGUAAAUAAACCCACCACAGGCAGCUGACUGGGGGAGGUCGCUAGGCUAAUCCUCGAUCUCGCUGAUGUCCUGGAACUCCUGGAGAGAUGCCUUCUUAUUUACGUGAGCAUAGAUUGCACCAAAGGCAACCUGGUGUUUUGUGAAAGCAAGGGUGAGUACACAUCAACGUACUCAGCAAAUGUCUCGUUUGGCUGAAGUGGACUAGCUUUAUGUGGGGGUUAAGGUCAAAGCAGUUGCUUUUAGUUGGUCAGGUAUUUAUUAUUAGUGGAAGCCAAGUUUUAUAAUAUAACCAACCCAUGAAUCCUUUCCUCAUCGAGGAACAUCAUUAUCAUCAUCGAACCAAAAUAAUAAAUAGAACCAUUGUAUAUCAAACCAUCUGUAUCUCUAAUCAAAUAGGAUCCCAAGGCCGCUCAUAACCGUGAGCACGACUGAUAUAUCAGUUUCUAACCCUCUGGAGAGGUCGCACACUUUCCCCACAAGUCGUGAUCCCCAUUCUGCCAGGAGAUCAUGACUCUCCAUUGAUCACUUCCAAGGUGACCUAGCAGGGUCUCACUACGUAGACUUUACAAAGAUUUUCCAGAGGUCAUAGCCACCAAUUAGGUUUGUCCAGUUUGAUAAACACUGUACCUCUCCCCAAAGAAAGGGUGACUAACCAAAACCAAAUCAAAGAACCUCUGCAAUCAGCCUCGGUAGAGCAAGUACUGUGCCUGGACCCCAUUGACGGCCCUACGAUGAAGCCAACUACUCCUCUGGUUCCUCUAAUUAAUCAGCUAAGGGCAUCCCAUUCCACCCUCAUGGCCGCACUGUUAUCCCGGAUUGUCACUCCACGAACAGGUCCUUACGGAGAGGUACUCAGGAAAAUAGCCUGAGUCCCCUAAAAUAUCACAAGAUCAUCAUUGGGAUAACAUCAUCAUAUCAUAAAUAUUCACAUCAUGUUCAUUGAUUAAAGUAAAGCAAUAGCAUAAAGCUAACCAUGAUAACCCCAAAAGGUAAAUAAGGAUAAGGAAAUACAGAAUUGUCAAUCUUUAGGUUUCAAUAAUGUAAUGUUGGACGGUGAAUUAUAAGUAUGUAGGACAUAAUAGGUCAGAGGACACUUGCCUUCACCAAACAGAUGCUCAGGGUCUUCAACCUUGUGGAACUCGAAGAGCCCGACCACUUGGUCGCCAACGCUUGAUCGUUGAUCCCUCAAAGCUCGGAAUGGAUCGCAGUCUAUUCGCGACGCACAGCGAAUACAAACAGGCACAAAUAAGCAAACAUAUAUAUAUGUAUAAGAACAUUACAUCAUUCAAAUAAAAACAUAAUAAAACAUGCAAAACAAAAUAGAGCGCGUUACUAUGGUCACGCGAGGAAAAAAAAUGUCGAACUCGAAGCGACGGUCGGAAAGAUAUCGCAUUUACGCUAAAUAAAUAUUAACUAAAACAUUUAAUUCAACAUUAUCAAAUAUAAAUAAUAUCUACCAUUUAGUUUUGAUUAAUCUACCACACUAAAAAGCUGUCAAAUAAAUAAGUAAUUUAAUUAAAACGAGAGAUUCUAAGCGAGGCGAAUUUACGACGCGCGAAACAACACGACAGUGUGCGAAACGACGCGCAAACACGCGUGACAUAGCAUGCUGACGACACACGAACUAGAGCGUGCGACCAGCGCGAACGACGCGCGAACCAGCACAUCGCCACGUGCGGAACAGCUCACGCGACAAGCAAAAAAAUACUAAAUAGAAGACGUGUUUAUACUAAACAAAUAUUAAAUAAACAAAAAGCGCAAGUUGAACACUACACAUUUAAUCUAAUUGAAAUAUUGAUCUAAUAAAUAUUAGUCGAGCAAACCUUAAGUCAAUUAUCUAAAAUAUGUGACCUGACGAAUUAACGUUAUUAAAAUGAGUGUUUAUAAGCGAAAACAAUUUAUUGUCACGCGCAAACAUCGCACGCCACAUGUGAUCGACAUGCGAGAUACGCGCGAGCAACGCGCGACAAGACGCGCGACCCACGCGAACAGCGCGCGACGACGCGUGCGAACGGCGCACGACAACGCGUGCGAAUGGCACGCGCGACACGCGACGAUGUGCGCGAAAUAGCACUGUGGCACGCGAAACAACGCACGCGACAACGCGCCAACGACGCCCUUGAACGACGGGCGGACAACGCGACGACGAUGGCGAGCGCAAUACACGCGAACAAAGAGUAAACGGUGCUCGCAACACGCGAGAGUCACUAAAAGAUAUCACGUUUAUACUAAACAAGUAUAAAUUCAGAAACAUUUGAGUGGGCAUAAUCAUAUUAACAUUUAUUUAUAAUGCACAACUAAAACUAUAAAUUAGUUUAACUAGAUUGCUACUUUUAUAAUUGUUGGAUAAAUAAAUUAUUAAAUAAAUAAAAUGUGUAUCACUACAAAAAAUGCUACGAAGUUGACGCGAUUGAAACAAGUACAAACAGAUUUACGAUGAAUAAUAUAUUGAAUAAAUAACAAUUUGUGAAUUAUAAAAUAUGCGGCUAUUAAGAACCGCUAAACACACAUCACGAUUACCCUAAGCACGUAUUCAAUCAAGACAUUUGAGUCACAUUAAUCACGUUAACAUUUAUUUAUGAAAGCAUAUGUUAGAAACUGUAAAAUAGUUUUACUAGAAAAGUAUUUAAAUAACCAUUGAAAAACCAAUUACUGGACUAACUAAUUAAUUACAGCUUGUUUCGUGGUAAAAUAUUGUUUCUAACAUGUAAACGGUAUUAUUACGAAGCUAACGCAACUGGUACGGGUCGAAAUUGAACAACAACACAAAAGAUACUGAAUAAUUAAUAAACUACAGAAUUAAAGCAAUGUUGCGCAUUAGGAUUUGCUGCAACCAAGGCCACACUAUGGGUCACAUGGAAAACAAAUGCACAAGAUCCUGACAUGGGGCACUUCUCUUCUCCACGUACCAUUUACCACGCACGAUGGUUACUUUCCCUUUCUUUUCUCUACAACGGUUGCUUUUUCUUCAGGCUGUGCCAUGGCGGACCGGGCGAUGGCAGCGAGUGACCAGCAGGCAGGGGCACGAGGUGAGAUGAUGGCUCGCUGGCAGGGCUUUGCACAGAGCGCGGUGGCGAAGCAGCACGCAGAAUAGGAAGUGAAGGGCUAAAGGCGUGUGGCCAUGGUUGUACGCUGGCUGCGGCAAGGCACGCCAGGGGUCACUCGGCGCCUCGGCCACGGCGGAGCAGGGCGGGCGAGGUACGGUAGCAGCGGCCAUGGUGGCUCACAUGGCAGGCGAGGCACGCGGGACACGAAGCAAGUGACGUGUGCAGGGGAAAACGGCUCCCUGGCCACGUCCGCCAUGGGCUGCGCGAGGAAAAAGGUCGCCGAAGGGAGGGGAGGGAGGAAGCGACGGGGAGGAUGCUCACCUUGGCGGACGAGUGGUGAUGGCGCGGAUCCGACGAACGAUGACGCAACAGGUAGCUCUAGAGAGGGGAGGAUGAGCCGGUUGUGCAGGGAGAGAGUCGGGGCAGGCAGUUUCGAGUUUAUGGGGUCUAGGACGUGCGUCGUGGAAGAAGAUUAGAGAAGCAAGCAAGCAUCCGG
RNAcentral lists this long non-coding RNA (4301 nucleotides) under Zea mays. RNAcentral describes it as "long non-coding RNA (ZMAY_LNC002478)". Lineage: Eukaryota; Viridiplantae; Streptophyta; Magnoliopsida; Poales; Poaceae. The record is from RNAcentral.